This 422-nucleotide ribosomal RNA is filed under the name uncultured bacterium. RNAcentral describes it as "bacterial SSU rRNA". It matches the Rfam family "Bacterial small subunit ribosomal RNA", at positions 361 to 776 of the family's 1533-position model. The record is from RNAcentral.
AUCUUGCGCAAUGGGCGAAAGCCUGACGCAGCGACGCCGCGUGAGUGAUGAAGGCCUUCGGGUUGUAAAGCUCUGUGGGGAGAGACGAAUAAGUGCAGCCUAAUACGUUGCAUGAUGACGGUAUCUCCUUAGCAAGCACCGGCUAACUCUGUGCCAGCAGCCGCGGUAAGACAGAGGGUGCAAACGUUGUUCGGAAUUACUGGGCGUAAAGCGAGUGUAGGCGGUCUCAUAAGUCAGGUGUGAAAGCCCUGGGCUCAACCCAGGAAGUGCACUUGAAACUGCGAGGCUAGAGUAUCGGAGAGGUUGGUGGAAUUCUCGGUGUAGAGGUGAAAUUCGUAGAUAUCGAGAGGAACACCGGUGGCGAAGGCGGCCAACUGGACGAAUACUGACGCUGAGACUCGAAAGCGUGGGGAGCAAACAGG